CUCCUUUCCACUGGUCUCUUGCUCUCUUUGCUUUUUCUGCUUGGUAGGAUCUUUUAGCUGCUAAUAGAGCCAGGCGUCUGUCUAGGACUUUAACUCCCUGAAUCCCGCAGAGCCGCUUGUACAAAAGGUCGAUGUGUCAUUUGUCUCCAUAAAGCAUCAUUCCUUGUAUCACACCCGAAGCUCUCCAGCCCUCAGGCACUGUCACGGCAGAAGCAUGGCCAUCUCAUCACGCCUUGCACUGUGGGAGCAAAAGGAAAGUGACGACACUCGUGCAGCUGCGGGGGCAGGGUUCCCUCCGGCACCCACUGAAUGUGGCAUGUCUCUCCUGGGUGCGGGGCCUCGGGCGCUUAGAGGGAGCAGAUCAUUGGAAGGAGCUAAGGGUUCCCAAUUGCACAGUAGCAACGCUUCCAGCAGGGGGCAAGGAGCACGCCCGGCUUUAACCAUUUGCUAGCCAGCACGAUCCAUUCCUUUGGUUUCACUUUACUCAUUAGAUUUGGCAUCUCAUAGUCAAUGGCUCGCUUGUCACCCCUUGUGCAUGUCCUGCUGCCUUCCACAAAUGCCCUUUGUGAGCGUUCUAGCUUCUAGCACAUAGGGGGCCAUUUGUGUGUUGUGUUUUGUGUUGUGAGCUCUUUCUCUACUGCCUUGGGAGCAGACGGCUCCUGCCAGUAAAUUCCAGGUAGAAGAAGAGAGUUAACAUAGGCUUGAAAAGUAGAGUAACUAUCCUCACCUGAGGUUAAAGCCAUGUGCAGGUGUGUGUGAGAGGACACCAUGGGUCUGAAGUGCCAGUCUUCUUUCGGACACAAAAAUUGAUGCUGCUAGUCUGGUCUUCAUGAGUGACCCUACGACAACAGCCGUGUGCUCAUAGGCCACCCCACAACAACCCAGCAGGUGCAACCCCGAGACUCUCAAGCAACCCUACAAUAACAAACCAGCAUGCAAGUACCUGUAGUAGAUGCAGCCCUGGGGAGGGAAUAAACUCAGCAAGGGGAGGGUCCAGUUCCAGAUCGUGCGUGGUGGUGGUAUAAUGAGCGACGAGAACGUCUGAUUGUUGGAAAGAGCUCUGCAAGCCCCCUGCCACGUCUCUCUCACUUUGCUACUCCCGUGUGAUGCUAGAGCAGAGUACGGGACUUGGCCUGUCAUACAUGAGCUUGGUUGAGUCAUGUAUGCCGACUAACUGCUCUUCGAGGGGUUUGUGAUGCUGUCUGAGCCCGAAGAGCAGACCUUUGCCAGGGCCCACGAGGCGUGCCAUCGAAUAAUGUAGCCUCUGCUUGUG
This is a long non-coding RNA of Trachemys scripta elegans, 1273 nucleotides long. RefSeq lists it as uncharacterized. The transcript has 3 exons. Lineage: Eukaryota; Metazoa; Chordata; Testudines; Emydidae. The record is from RefSeq and is a predicted model, not a curated record.